UACUGUUGAACUAAACAAACUUAAUAUGUAAAUAUUUUAAAGUGAACUGUACACUUUAAAAUGGUAAAAAUGAGGCGAUACAGAGCAAUGUGUGUUCACUGUAAGGGCAGACCGACAAUAUUCUUCCUACUUGUGGGCUGCCUCUCUUCAAUGGAGGCUGUUCUUCCCGUUGCCAGAGAGAACAUGGGGUAACGAGUGAGAGAGUAGGAAUAGGGCAUGCUCGGGACAUCAGGGUCAGGGAUCCAGAGGGCUUAGACUGUGCUGUGGCCACUGAGAGAUGAAACACAGAUCUUUGGUAAUCUGAUGGCU
Small nucleolar RNA from Cervus hanglu yarkandensis (Yarkand deer), 309 nucleotides. The record is from Ensembl. Lineage: Eukaryota; Metazoa; Chordata; Mammalia; Artiodactyla; Cervidae.